Molecule: non-coding RNA, 272 nt
Filed under: Magnaporthiopsis poae ATCC 64411
Lineage: Eukaryota; Fungi; Ascomycota; Sordariomycetes; Magnaporthales; Magnaporthaceae
Description: Magnaporthe poae ATCC 64411 Bacterial large subunit ribosomal RNA
Rfam family: Bacterial large subunit ribosomal RNA
Source: Rfam by way of RNAcentral
UAUGUUUAGGCACAAUAAGCAUAAAUCGCGUGUAUGUCAAAAGGGAAACAGCCCAGAACAAGAGUUAAGGUUCCAAAAUUAUUAUUAAGUGAAAUUAAGAAGGUUUUUAUUUAAGUCGACAAGGAGAUAGGCUUGGAGGCAGCCAUAAUUUAAAGACCUCGUAACAGAGCGCUUGUUAAGUUUUAAAAUGCAUCGAAAAUAUAACGGAUCUAAAUAAUAUACCGAUACCUUGUCCAUAAAUUAAGAUAAUUUAUUAUGUUAUUUAUGGGGUA